Molecule: ribosomal RNA, 434 nt
Filed under: uncultured bacterium
Lineage: Bacteria
Description: bacterial SSU rRNA
Rfam family: Bacterial small subunit ribosomal RNA
Source: RNAcentral
GAGUUUGAUCGUGGCUCAGGAUGAACGCUGGCGGCGUGCUUAACACAUGCAAGUCGAACGAAGCACUUGAAUGGAAUUCUUCGGAAGGAAGCUCAAGUGACUGAGUGGCGGACGGGUGAGUAACGCGUGGGUAACCUGCCUCAUACAGGGGGAUAACAGUUAGAAAUGACUGCUAAUACCGCAUAGGACCACGGUACCGCAUGGUACAGUGGUAAAAACUCCGGUGGUAUGAGAUGGACCCCGCGUCUGAUUAGGUAGUUGGUGAGGUAACGGCCCACCAAGCCGACGAUCAGUAGCCGACCUGAGAGGGUGACCGGCACAUUGGGACUGAGACACGGCCCAAACUCCUACGGGAGCAGCAGUGGGGAAUAUUGCACAAUGGGGGAAACCCUGAUGCAGCGACGCCGCGUGAAGGAUGAAGUAUUUCGGUAUGU